UACGGGGGGGGCAAGCGUUGUUCGGAAUUACUGGGCGUAAAGGGCUCGUAGGCGGCCAACUAAGUCGGACGUGAAAUCCCCAGGCUCAACCUGGGAACUGCGUCUGAUACUGGAUGGCUUGAAUCCGGGAGAGGGUGGUGGAAUUCCCGGUGUAGCGGUGAAAUGCGUAGAUAUCGGGAGGAACAUCAGUGGCGAAGGCGACCGCCUGGCCCAACACUGACGCUGAGGUGCGAAAGCGUGGGUAGCAAACAGG
RNAcentral lists this ribosomal RNA (253 nucleotides) under uncultured bacterium. Its description in RNAcentral is "partial 16S ribosomal RNA". It matches the Rfam family "Bacterial small subunit ribosomal RNA", at positions 524 to 776 of the family's 1533-position model. The record is from RNAcentral.